CCUCUGUUCCAGCCUUCUUGCGUCCCUUAUGUUUUCCAGAUGCGCUGACUCAACGUAAAAUAUCCUAAAUGUCAAUCUGUGUCCCCAUCGUCCUAAGGAGAUUAAGAUGGUCCCUGAUCAAGGAUGACAAGCGAACAUAUUAAAAAAAAAAAAUCUCGCCUUUGUGACUGACUGCGUCUAGUUAUCUCAGGGAGCACCCUUAGAAAACCUAAGCUGCCCUACAAGAGUCAGGCUCCUUUAAGGCCCUUCCUUAUCUCGGAGGCGGAACCGGAAGCGCGAGGACGCGGUGCCCAACAUGGCGGCCGCCUGGCCCGCGGGUCGGGCUUCUCCAGCGGCGGGGCCUCCGGCCCUCCUCCGCACUCUGUGGCUCGUGACGGUCGCCGCGGGACAUUGUGGGGCUGCUGCCUCUGGCGCUGUCGGAGGCGAGGAGACGCCCAAGUGUGAGGACCUCAGAGUGGGACAAUAUAUUUGUAAAGAACCAAAAAUAAAUGAUGCUACGCAAGAACCAGUUAAUUGUACAAACUACACAGCUCAUGUUCAAUGUUUUCCAGCACCCAACAUAACUUGUAAGGAUUUGAGUGGUAAUGAAACACAUUUUACUGGAAGUGAAGUUGGUUUUCUCAAGCCCAUAUCUUGCCGAAAUGUGAAUGGCUAUUCAUACAAAGUGGCAGUUGCACUAUCUCUUUUUUUGGGAUGGCUGGGAGCAGAUCGAUUUUACCUCGGAUAUCCUGCCUUAGGCUUGUUAAAGUUUUGCACUGUGGGAUUUUGCGGAAUUGGGAGCCUAAUUGAUUUCGUCCUUAUUUCAAUGCAGAUCGUCGGCCCUUCGGAUGGGAGUAGUUACAUUAUAGACUAUUAUGGAACCAGACUCACGAGACUCAGCGUUACUAAUGAGACAUUUAGAAAAACACAGUUGUAUCCAUGAGUGUUUGAAAGAGGAACAGAUUUGAGCCUCCCUGAUUUCAAUCAAGAGCCCUGUGUGUGGAAUUCCAGAUUUCCUUUUCCUUUAGUAUCACUUUAUGGGUUCUAGAUGAUGUUUGACAUGUGCUCAACCUUGAUUUGUUGAUUUAGUUAGAGUAUACUAUUCCUAGAUUUAUUUAAUAGUCUUUCUUAAAAUCAGUAUACUAUGUUUCGAGGGCUUCUGUCUCUAUGAGACAGCUAGUCUAUCACUUUGUUACUAUUGUAUUACUGUCAUGUCCUUUACACGUCACUUGUCAUUUUUAUUUGUGAAAAAUAAAAAGAUAACUUAUUCACAUUUGACUGACUGUCAUUAAGAAGACCUUUAUUACUGAA
RNAcentral lists this long non-coding RNA (1290 nucleotides) under Rattus norvegicus (Norway rat). RNAcentral's name for it is "long non-coding RNA NONRATT023402". Lineage: Eukaryota; Metazoa; Chordata; Mammalia; Rodentia; Muridae. The record is from RNAcentral.